This 433-nucleotide ribosomal RNA is filed under the name uncultured bacterium. Its description in RNAcentral is "bacterial SSU rRNA". It matches the Rfam family "Bacterial small subunit ribosomal RNA", at positions 28 to 478 of the family's 1533-position model. The record is from RNAcentral.
GACGAACGCUGGCGGCGUGCUUAACACAUGCAAGUCGAACGGAAAGGCCCUGCUUUUGUGGGGUGCUCGAGUGGCGAACGGUGAGUAACACGUGAGUAACCUGCCCUUGACUUUGGGAUAACUUCAGGAAACUGGGGCUAAUACCGGAUAGGAGCUCCUGCUGCAUGGUGGGGUUGGAAAGUUUCGGCGGUUGGGGAUGGACUCGCGGCUUAUCAGCUUGUUGGUGGGGUAGUGGCUUACCAAGGCUUUGACGGGUAGCCGGCCUGAGAGGGUGACCGGCCACAUUGGGACUGAGAUACGGCCCAGACUCCUACGGGAGGCAGCAGUGGGGAAUAUUGCACAAUGGGCGGAAGCCUGAUGCAGCAACGCCGCGUGCGGGAUGACGGCCUGGUGUAACGACUUCGUCCUCGUGACGAAGCGUGAGUGACGGUAA